CUAAUACAUGCAAGUCGAACGCUUUGUGGUUCAACUGAUUUGAAGAGCUUGCUCAGAUAUGACGAUGGACAUUGCAAAGAGUGGCGAACGGGUGAGUAACACGUGGGAAACCUACCUCUUAGCAGGGGAUAACAUUUGGAAACAGAUGCUAAUACCGUAUAACAAUGACAACCGCAUGGUUGUUAUUUAAAAGAUGGUUCUGCUAUCACUAAGAGAUGGUCCCGCGGUGCAUUAGCUAGUUGGUAAGGUAAUGGCUUACCAAGGCGAUGAUGCAUAGCCGAGUUGAGAGACUGAUCGGCCACAAUGGGACUGAGACACGGCCCAUACUCCUACGGGAGGCAGCAGUAGGGAAUCUUCCACAAUGGGCGAAAGCCUGAUGGAGCAACGCCGCGUGUGUGAUGAAGGGUUUCGGCUCGUAAAACACUGUUGUAAGAGAAGAAUGACAUUGAGAGUAACUGUUCAAUGUGUGACGGUAUCUUACCAGAAAGGAACGGCUAAAUACGUGCCAGCAGCCGCGGUAAUACGUAUGUUCCAAGCGUUAUCCGGAUUUAUUGGGCGUAAAGCGAGCGCAGACGGUUAUUUAAGUCUGAAGUGAAAGCCCUCAGCUCAACUGAGGAAUUGCUUUGGAAACUGGAUGACUUGAGUGCAGUAGAGGAAAGUGGAACUCCAUGUGUAGCGGUGAAAUGCGUAGAUAUAUGGAAGAACACCAGUGGCGAAGGCGGCUUUCUGGACUGUAACUGACGUUGAGGCUCGAAAGUGUGGGUAGCAAACAGGAUUAGAUACCCUGGUAGUCCACACCGUAAACGAUGAGUGCUAGGUGUUUGAGGGUUUCCGCCCUUAAGUGCCGCAGCUAACGCAUAAGCACUCCGCC
This 871-nucleotide ribosomal RNA is filed under the name Weissella confusa. RNAcentral's name for it is "bacterial SSU rRNA". It matches the Rfam family "Bacterial small subunit ribosomal RNA", at positions 48 to 873 of the family's 1533-position model. Lineage: Bacteria; Bacillati; Bacillota; Bacilli; Lactobacillales; Lactobacillaceae. The record is from RNAcentral.